ACUCCUGCGGGAGGCAGCAGUGGGGAAUAUUGGACAAUGGGCGCAAGCCUGAUCCAGCCAUGCCGCGUGAGUGAUGAAGGCCCUAGGGUUGUAAAGCUCUUUCACCGGAGAAGAUAAUGACGGUAUCCGGAGAAGAAGCCCCGGCUAACUUCGUGCCAGCAGCCGCGGUAAUACGAAGGGGGCUAGCGUUGUUCGGAAUUACUGGGCGUAAAGCGCACGUAGGCGGAUCGAUCAGUCGGGGGUGAAAUCCCAGGGCUCAACCCUGGAACUGCCUUUGAUACUGUCGAUCUGGAGUAUGGAAGAGGUGAGUGGAAUUCCGAGUGUAGAGGUGAAAUUCGUAGAUAUUCGGAGGAACACCAGUGGCGAAGGCGGCUCACUGGUCCAUUACUGACGCUGAGGUGCGAAAGCGUGGGGAGCAAACAGGAUUAGAAACCCCAGUAGUCCCAU
RNAcentral lists this ribosomal RNA (447 nucleotides) under uncultured organism. Its description in RNAcentral is "partial 16S ribosomal RNA". It matches the Rfam family "Bacterial small subunit ribosomal RNA", at positions 335 to 798 of the family's 1533-position model. The record is from RNAcentral.